Molecule: long non-coding RNA, 3839 nt
Organism: Canis lupus familiaris (dog)
Lineage: Eukaryota; Metazoa; Chordata; Mammalia; Carnivora; Canidae
Exons: 4
Source: RefSeq, a predicted model, not a curated record
UGCUGAGCCAUCCAGGGAUUCCCAGAGUCAGCAUUUUCAAAGCUCCCCACUCGAUACCAACGUAUAGCCAGUGGUGAAAACCUUUGCAGUCAGACACAUGUAGGUUCAAUUCCUGCCUCUGCUUCCAUGCUGGGUGAACUUGGACUUGCUGGGCAACCCUUCGGAGCCUUGGUCUCCUUCUCCUUCCAUUGGGAAUGAUACUCUUGUCACGGGCUAAAGGGAUUAAAUCAUAAUUUGAGCAAAUUAUCUAGUACUUAGAGCUAAAAAAAAAAAGAGAGAGAAAGCAAGCAAGCAAGUGCAAUGGAAACAAUCAUGCUCACAGCAAUAUCAACCUUGCAUAGUGGAAGGGAACACUUUGAUUUGGGCCUUGAAAGGAGCGUGUUGAACAGAUGCUUCUGGAGCAGAGCUCAGAGGCUGAGAGCCAUUGAGCUCAAGUCCCUUCUCAGCGUGACUUGCUUUGUAUCUCCCUCCAUGGAAAGAUCCGAAACGCAAGCCAUUAUUGUUGACAUGGGCAAGUCAUUGGGGUCUGUGUGGGAUUUCUGUUUGGAAAACCAGCAAAUCCUGCAGGGUUGGACUCACCAAUGUUUCUGCAGGCUGUGGCUGUGGCUGUGACAACUGAUCAGAACCCCCAGUGCCCCUGGGCCGCAGGAUGCAGAUGGACCCGAGGCACAGAGCAGUCAAGUCAUUUGUCCCAACUCACACAGCUGGCAAGUGGCUGAGGCAAACAGGCCGGCUGGCUUCCUGGAGCUUCCAAGGGCUCCACCGUGCUGGGUUGUUAUCGCUGUGUUACCUAACGUAUUCUUCCGACUGCACGUACACAGUUAUUGAGGACCUACUGUAUACCUUGUUCUGGAUGCAAAGGAGGCAGAGGUAUUUUGUUCUAUUUUGUGGCCAACCCCAACUUGCCUUGGUUAAGUCAAAAGGAGGAAGAAAUCUGUGGCUGGCAUUUGACCCAGGAAACGGAGGGAGCCUGUGUGAAUGAGGAAGGAGGGAGUCCAAGAUGGGAUGGGGCUCCAUGAGGCAGGGGAACUCACAUUUACAGUGGGCCAGGCACUCAGCACCAUGCUCUUGGGUGGGUACCACCUGUCCCCAUUGUACGGAUGAGGAGAUGGAGGCAGAGGGGCCGGUUAGCUGUAGAAUCGGGUCUGGCUUCUGGCUGCAUGGGACUCCUGGUCCAGUGCUCUUUGCAGGGCCUGAGAGUGCCUGUGGGCCUGGAGGCUUUCCUGUAGCCCUCCACAGGUGGUCCUCGGAAGCCCUGACCAGGUGCACAGCCCUCUCAGAGAGACCCUCUCCAGGCAUGUGUCAAGACUGACUUAGGAGCCUCAUCCAGGCCCCCUGCAAAUAGCACGGGCUUCCAAGACCCUCCUGCACAGUGGCAGUGGGGGCGCUUCUCAGGAACACUGGGGCUGCAGCCAGGGAGACCUGAGUUUGAGUCCUGACCCCACCACAUGCUGCCUGUCAUGAAUGCGAGCACAUCCUUCAUCCCUUCUGGGUCUCAGAUUCAUGUUCUUUGAAAUGGGGGCACGAGGCCUGCUGGGGAGGAAGGCUGUGUGUCUGUCCCUCUUUCUGACCAUCACUCGCGGACUCCAGGCUCAAGGACACUGACAGAUCAGCAAGUGACCUACACAGCAGAGCCCCAGGGCCGUGUUCUGUGCUGGGUGAAGUGGGCACCCUGCUCUUAAGGAACCCCUAGUCCCAAAGGGGAGGGGAGCUACUCCUACCCGGUGUAAGGGCGUAGGUGGAUAUUCCAGAGAAUCUAAGGGGGAAGGCAGGUUACACUUAUCCAUUCCACGAGGGGGGGCACACACCCCCAUUUGUCCCAAGGGGAGACUCAUGUGCUGCCUCACCCGGAGGGGGACAGAACAGAUGCCCGAGUCAGUCUAAGGAGGGAGGCAAACACUCCACGCAUCCUGGGGGUGGGCACACCCGGAAUCACAAGGCAGUGGAAGUCUAGUGUUCCCACAGUGGCUCAGAGAACAGGACCCACGCAUCCUCUAUCAUUUGACUAUUUCUAAAGCACCUACCAUGUGCCUGGACGUGUGCCGGGUGCUAGAUAAAGAGGUGGGCUGCAGCCUUUGAGGGGAGUGCAGUGCUUUGGAAAUAGUGAUGUGAGAGGCUAGGCUUCUCUCCAGGGUCCAGAAUGCAGAGGAGGGUGCAAACCCCUGAUACCUCCUCAGGGGGCCACAGAGGUCAGCAAACCAGAGCCUGGGAAUUCCCCCUUUAAGCCUUUUCUUCCCACGAUGCUCCCCAGGACAGGACACCUUACAGUCCUCUGCUAUGUCACAUCGUACCACAUCGCCUGUCUUUUCCUUUUCGGACACCAGACACUGAGAAGUUUGUCUCAAUGAUCUAUGGAUGCAUCAAAACCAUCCCCAAACUCAGAGGCUGAAAAUAGCAACCACUUCAUUAGCUCUGCCAUCUGAUCUGGGUGCAGCUGGGCCCUGCCGCGGUUUUGUUUGGGCUCACUCGGCAGCUGCAGACACCUUGGGGCCGGCUGCUGGAAGAUGACAUUGCUUAGGUCUGGCAGUGUGGCUGUGGCCUGAGCCACACGCCUCCAGGAGGCUCGCCUGGGCUCCUCUAACCGAUCCAGCUGUUCAUGUCACCUGCGGUCAGAGAGGCAGGAUGGUCCUCGGAAGCCCCAUUUGGCAGAAGUGAAAGCUGAGGCUCAGAGAGCUGUGGUGGGAGAGCUGGAAGGUGCCUCUGGCUCCUGUGUUUACGCCCCUCGCUGUGCAGCCUCCCUGUGACGUGGGGAGCGGGGGCUCCACGGGGAGGCAGGUGCCGGCUCUGCCCCACGGCGCUCGGCGCUCGCAGUCUGCGGGGAGGAGGAAGGUCCACGUGCAGCUGAGAGGAGAGCUCAGUGGGAGCCAGGGGGCCCCCAACCUGCCAGGGGCAGAGCCAGCUGUCCAGAAGGCGUGAAAUGAAAUAAGGAAAAGGAGGUCAGAGAGGAACGCCCAAGGUCACAGCCAGCCGGCGGCAGGCACCCUGAUCACACCGCAACAGCCUUGUCCAGCACAGCCACAUCUCCGGGGUCACAGGGAUGUGACCCCCGCCCCUGUCAACCAGGGUGCACCUCCUGGGCUUCGGGUCACUAGGCAGCUUGCCGUCCAGUGGGGUGGGACGGCCCAGCCCACCUUCCAGGCCAUCUGCCCUGCCUCCUUGGUGGCAGCGUCUGCGUGCAGCCUGCUGGCCGGUGCAGGGGCCCCACAGCCCUGAAAGGUAACACCUGUCUUAAGCCUCUCAGAGCCUGACAAGGACAGGUAUGGAGGAACUUGACUCCCCUGAAAGGAUUUGGGCCCUUGUCCCGGGGCCCAGCGAGCCCAUGGAAACAUGACCCGCCCCUGUGUGAACAAUGCCUUUCAUUGGAACGUUGAACUGGCCACCAACUCACUGAGUGACUUUGGGCAAGUCAUGUCCUCUCUCUGAACCUGUAAAAUAAAGAUGAAAAUAACAGCUUCGAGGCGCCUGGGUGGCUCAGCUGGUUAAACAGCUGACUCUUGAUUUCGGCUCAGGUCAUGAUCUCAGGGUCCUGGGCUGGAGCCCCGAGUCUGGCUCGGAGCUCCAUGUAGAAUCUGCUUGAGAUUCUCUCUCCCUUCUCCCCUACCCCCCCUCACUCAUGCACGUGUGUGCUCUCUCUCUCUCUCUCUCGAAUGAAUGAAUAAAUAUCUUUGAAAAAAAGAAAUAAAAAGAAAAACAACUGCCUUACGAGGUUUGCAACCCCUGUGUCACUUGACCAUUAUUGCACAUUUUGUCUGGCACAUAGUAAGUAUUACUCUGGACUGGAGAUGCUUUUUUUUUUCUUCAAUAUUGAAAAUCACGAUAAAGUACACCUAACACAAACU